RNAcentral lists this long non-coding RNA (1173 nucleotides) under Fragaria vesca (wild strawberry). RNAcentral describes it as "long non-coding RNA (FVES_LNC000312)". Lineage: Eukaryota; Viridiplantae; Streptophyta; Magnoliopsida; Rosales; Rosaceae. The record is from RNAcentral.
UAUUUUCGUCGGCUAAAGUCCUUUGAAAAUUUUCCUCCAACUUUGGUUUACCGCCUAAAAAUUUUGAAAUUUUUGACCUUAGCCGACGACUUUUCAUAUAUUUUCGUCGGCUAAAGUCUAUAAAUUCACGAAAACGCUCAUAUCUCCCCCUAUAUUACGUAAUUUGGUCAAACCUUCCACACCAAAAACUCUCACGUAGAUGAGACGCAACUGCCCAUAUAAAAAUUUUGAGACAUUUACCUUCCGACGAUAGGGCUCUCCAUAAGGAAUAAUAACGGUAAAGUAGGGUUGACCGCUACUAUCGGCUCCGAGACCUUACCCGAUUUACGUGAUUUUUGAACCAUAGCCGUAUUUCACCAUUUUGAACACAUCUUAUUUCACGAGAUUUUUCAUAAUUUUGUUUCCUAUGUAGAGUUGGUUCACAAAGUUGUAUAACCUACUAAACAAGUUAUACAACAUUAGUAGACACGUUGUGAUUCCGAUGACUAAAAUUCACAAACCAAAAUUCGACCGUCAGAUAUGAUCAUUAUGACGAAAAUGUCUAUGGUAAAAAAAUUCAAACUGGAUCCGACAACGUUAAGGGCUCGAUCGAAACGGUAAACCAUAAUCCAUCGUCACUUAUCACACGAAAACGCUCAUAUCUCCCUCUAUAUUACGUAGUUUGGUCAAACCUUCCACACAAAAAACUCUCACGUAGAUGAGAGGAAACUGCCCAUAUAAAAAUUUUGAGACAUUUACCUUCCGACGAUAGGGCUCCCCCUAAACCCGAAUAACGGUAAAUAGUAGACACGUUGUGAUUCCGAUGACUAAAAUUCACAAACCAAAAUUCGACCGUCAGAUAUGAUCAUUAUGACGAAAUAUGUCUAUGGUAAAAAAUUCAACUGGAUUCGACAACGUUAAGGGCUCGAUCGAAACUAUCAACUCUAAUCGAAAAUAAGAAAACUGCAUUUUCAAGCCCUAAACGGACUCGGAUGGCCAAAAAAGCCUAUACAUCAUGGCAUUAGCAAUGAGUCUGACUCGUAGCGCCGUUACGCUUCCGGAAAGGUAUCACAAUAGUCAAUCAGACACCAAACGCCAAAUCUGCAGCAUAGUGAAUAGUAAGAGUAAGUCAACUAUCGGCACCGAGACUUUACCGGAAUACUGUGAUUUUUCAACCGUAGUCGUAUUUCANNN